ACAUAUAUAUAUACACAUACAAAGGGGUACCCAAAAGUAACCGGAAACGUUCUCUGUGAGACAAACCCAUUGUAAUUCAGGCUUCUGCUGCUAGAAACCACUGGAUGUGACCCUCAGGCACCAGUCUGCCAACCAGUGUCCUUAAGCGAAGUCGUCCUGCCACGUGGUGUGACUUUGUUUUGCAGUGCU
Molecule: long non-coding RNA, 189 nt
Organism: Octopus sinensis (East Asian common octopus)
Lineage: Eukaryota; Metazoa; Mollusca; Cephalopoda; Octopoda; Octopodidae
Exons: 3
Source: RefSeq, a predicted model, not a curated record